AUUCACUCAAGGUGAAUCCUUGGGUUGAGACCACACGUCCCCCCACGCCAGCUAGCCAUGGAGGUGGACGGCGGGCUCCACCAUGUGCUGCAUGUGGCUGGCCGGCCCCCCACUCCCCUGCACAUAUCCGGACAGGAGCGGACAGGGCCCUGGCAGCUCCUGGCCUUGUCUGAUCAAUCCCUCUUGUAGCACUUGGGGACACUGAGGCCAGAAGGGGUCGGCCCUGCAUAAGGACACAGGGCUGCGGUGGGACCCUGGGACGUGGGUGGAAGGAAGGAGCCUCCCCACCGCUGGCUGAGGUCCUGUCCUGUCAGCUGCUGAGGCGGGGGCUCCUGGCAGGGCGCACAGCAGGUGACACCCUGGGUGACAGCUCUGUGGGGGAGGCCUCGAGCCCCAGGUUGUGUGCCCAUGUGACUGUGUGGUCAUCACGGCACCCCAGCACCCAGCCAUUUGCCUAAUGUAGGAACAAUCCGGAAGACUGAUGGCUGGCCCAGAGGGGAGGAGGCUCGCUGCCUCCUGGGUCUGGGUCUGGGUCUGGGCUACGCUCUGUGAGGGGCCAGGCUUUCGAUGCAGGUUGUGGGGGGUGGGGGGUCCCAUACCCCAGUCUCACUGGAGACCGUCCAGCCUGAGCUGACCUCUGCUCCGGCCACACCCCCUGGCCUGGGUACGGGGUUGGGAAGUGUGUUGACAAUCUGGAGGUAGAGACCGUGGCCAGCCCUCCCCCAAGACCCGCUCUCAGCACAGUGCCCCAGAUUCAGCUUCUGGAAAUACACUCGCAAUUAAAUCGAAAAGCCCAGGGAGCUGCCUUGGAGAGGAAAGUGGCGGUUACACAACACCUCAUUACUGCGGCUCCCAGCGGCCUGGCAGAGCCAGGGGCCUGGAAGACACAUGUGCCCCUGGCACCAGGCUCCGGGCCUGGUCACAGCCUCCCAGGACUCCUCAUUGCUGGGCCUGUGCUGCCCUGAGGACAGAGAGUCUCUGUCACCAUGAUGCUCACGCCCUGGCUGGGAAAUGACAACAAACUCUGAACAGGCCCAGCUGAGGAGAGGACAUUUGGAUAAGAUCUGAUUGUACACAGGAGGCCCCAGCAGGAGGAUCUGGGGAGACUGUUCUGGUCAGAGGACAGAGAAAAUGCCAGGGCACAGUCUGGACCAGAAAUCAAGACAGAGUCGGAGUGGCCUGAGGCGAAGGCAAGGGCUGCCCCUGGGGAGCGAGGAGCUGCCUGGAGACAAAGCUGGCAGCCAGGGGUCUCGUGGUCUGGUACUUUGAGCAGGCCUUGAUGAAGUGGUGUCUCCAAGGUGUGGGCCGGGUUUAAAGGAAGCCAGGAGGACCGAGCGUUCCCCAGGAGGCGUGGAGCUGGAGCAUCUGGCCUGAAGCAGCACAGAGAGCGCAGAG
This 1395-nucleotide long non-coding RNA is filed under the name Equus caballus (horse). Its description in RNAcentral is "lncRNA (ENSECAG00000037982.3)". Lineage: Eukaryota; Metazoa; Chordata; Mammalia; Perissodactyla; Equidae. The record is from RNAcentral.